UACGUAGGUGGCGAGCGUUGUCCGGAUUUACUGGGCGUAAAGAGCGCGCAGGCGGUCGUAUAAGUCGCGUGUGAAAGCCCCCGGCUCAACUGGGGAGGGUCACGCGAUACUGUUCGACUUGAAGGCAGGAGAGGGAAGCGGAAUUCCCGGUGUAGUGGUGAAAUGCGUAGAUAUCGGGAGGAACACCAGUGGCGAAGGCGGCUUCCUGGCCUGUUCUUGACGCUGAGGCGCGAAAGCUAGGGGAGCAAACAGG
This 253-nucleotide ribosomal RNA is filed under the name uncultured bacterium. RNAcentral describes it as "partial 16S ribosomal RNA". It matches the Rfam family "Bacterial small subunit ribosomal RNA", at positions 524 to 776 of the family's 1533-position model. The record is from RNAcentral.